UUGCAAAUAAGACUAUGCUUUUUAUCCACCCACCCACCCAAUUUAUUUUUGUUUUUUCUGAAAACGACUGCUGUCAUCCUUCAACAAAUACUUGCAGUUGCAGCUAUAUGACCUUCACCACCCAAGACUGCACAAUUACAUGUAUUUUUGCUCAUGGAAUGAGCCCAACUCCAUUAACAAUAAUUGAAUAGAGAAUAAAAAGGAGAAACAGGAUUAGAAUUUGAAGAAAUAGGCAUAUUGUAAAAUUGUUUUGCAAUAGCCCCAAGGCAUACCCACCACCCAGUAGAGUGAGGCGAAAAGAGUGGUCGUCAAUGUUGGGAGAGAGAUAGGUAGAGCUUUUAUUUUCACUUGAUUAAUACAUAGAGAGAUCUAGUCAAUACUUGGUAGUUACAGAGAGUAAAGCUAAGAAGCUAAUAUUAGAAAUUAUCUUCCCGUAUAUAUUAGUCAUAAUGGCUAGGAGGAGUCUAGGCCUAAGCCAAGAGCCAGAAGUUCUUCUACCAUCUGCUGCUGAUUAGGUAGCCACCCAAACCCGACGAACGCUCAGCAACACCCAACGCCACCACCCCCAUCGACCACCCACCAUCCAACCAGAAAAGAGGUUGUUGUUCUGGAAGUGGUAUUUAAGGGGAUGAAGGCAAUGAGCCUCUAUGGAAAUUUUACUUUUCAUCAUCUAGUCGGUUGGCCAAAAGAUGGUUUUGUUUAUGCUUUGAAGAUUGCAUACUUAUUUGCCUAUUUUGUUUCCUUAGAUUCUUAAUUCUCCUGUCUUACGGGAAAUAAAUGGUGUUAUAUGUAUUCGUUGGUAAGAUGCUUGUUAAAAUGCCUGAGUGAGAUACUUGUUUAUAAUUGCUUCAAAAAAGAGAAAUUGCAAAAGGUCACUCUACAGUAGAAAUUGCAAAAAAGAGAAAUUCCACAUACAUGUAGAAAUUCCAAAAAAGAGACUGGACUUAUUAUGUCUAUAAUUUAUGUUCAUGAGAAAUUUGUAGUAUUUUGUGGAAUUGAUGUCUAUGUUGUUUUUGGUAGGUGGACUCCAAGUUUGAGACUAUAGUUAGUUGUUGGUUGUGUAUAAAUUAAAUUUCCAAUUUGAUGUUAGGCUUACAUCUAUUGUUGUCAUUGAACCUGUAUCAUUUUGCAUUGGUGUCGUUCAGAUAAUUAUGAAGCAUUUCUUGUGACCUGCUUAGAGCUUGGUGGGCGCUUAUGUUCGAUUACAAUCAUGGAUGUGUUUUAGGAAUUAAAUGAUCUUUAGGAGUGAAGUCAUUAUGUUAUCUGUUUUUGUACUAAUUGGCUAUUGAUCUAUGGAACUGAAAUUCUGGUAUAACUUGAAAACUGAUGUACACAUAAUCUGUCCAUAAUUACUUUGGAGUAACUCUAUAAACUAUGAUAAUUCGCCUUGAAAUUUAUAUAUGACAAAAAGUGAGUUGCUAAUAUGGAAGAGCGGGAGAAUCCUCUAUCCAAGUUUAUCUAAGUACUUGAAACAUCCAUGCUGAUCAUUGGUCAUUCCCAGUCUUAUUGUUUGUGAACAUGUUUUGCAGCACAUCUAAACCAUUUAAUGGAGUUCUACAGCAAGAAAAACUACAGCUGGAUCAAAACUUCCUUGGCUGUAGGUCUCCAGCUUGGCUACAAUGUAAUCUUUGGGUCAUAUGCAUCUUUCCUCCUCAUUCGAACCGGGAAAAGCACACUGGCAUGCUCAUUAAGUAGAGAACUGCAUUCUAGGGGAAAGCUGUCCUAUGUCCUUGAUGGAGAUAACCUUCGGCAUGGACUAAACAAGGACCUUAGUUUCAAAUUAGAAGAUUGAACUGAAAACAUACUUUUGAGUUGAUUAAGAGUCUUCUAGGAACAAAUGUUGAGUGGCUCUACUAUAUUCUUCAGGCAUUCAACUCUGGUGAUUUAGUUCGUUAUCAGGACCUAUGUCAUGUGCACAAUGCUGCUCUGAGGGCUCAGCCAUCAUUAGUUGAGAAUGAGAAAAAGCUGGUGGAAAAGAUAAAUAUUAUCUGCUUGAUGGAAAUUAUUUUCAGCCGGUCAUCUGAUGAUCGAACUAUACCUUUGAGUAUCAUUGCAGAGCGCACAAAACUUUCUAUCGAGGAGGUGGAGCAUCUUCUUAUGAAGAGCCUUUUUGUUCAUCUGAUCGAGGGCAUAAUUGAUCAAAUUGAGGGAACAGUGCAUGUAUCCUGGGUGCAGCCAAGAGUAUUGGGGAUUCCACAGAUCACAUCCUUGCGCGAUCGUCUGGACAAUUGGUUGAAAAAAGUGAACACUGCCUUGAAAUCCAUCGAGGCAGAAACACCUGAUCUUGUUCCCCCCCCCCCUUUGAUUUGCCUCUGCCCAUUGUAACAAUUCAUUAACAUACAAGGGAAAAAAAAUUGGAAAGUCGACCCAAAAAAAAAAUUUAAUAGAGACUCGUCUUUUAAGUUGCAUGGGCAGUAUGGCCAGCUGUAUGCUUCCUUUCUUAUUGCCUAUUUUUGUUGAAUCCUGCUUCUUGAAAGGAGCAGCCUCUUGUGCUUCAUGAAGUCAUCGGUUCCAUAGUGGCAUCCCUAGAGUCAAAUGAAAAACGGUUGUUUUACGCUUUAGAGUGGUUUUUUACACUAUGUAUUUGAAAUUUUUCUUACACAAUCAGAUGUGAUUCUCUUAUUGUUGUUA
Molecule: non-coding RNA, 2631 nt
Organism: Corylus avellana
Lineage: Eukaryota; Viridiplantae; Streptophyta; Magnoliopsida; Fagales; Betulaceae
Source: RefSeq, a predicted model, not a curated record